Molecule: long non-coding RNA, 1409 nt
Organism: Bubalus bubalis (water buffalo)
Lineage: Eukaryota; Metazoa; Chordata; Mammalia; Artiodactyla; Bovidae
Exons: 3
Source: RefSeq, a predicted model, not a curated record
CACCAUACAUUGCUCGUUGCAGGAUUUGAAAACAAACAUUUCUCUUCUUAGGGAAGGAUCAUGGAGUUUAUCCAAUCAAGGUCCCACAGAGGGAGUUAAGAGUUGCAGUAACCUGGCAUGAUUAAUCCCUGAUUCCAGCCUUUAUGAAACACGUGCAACAACCUGCCAGGUCUCCCCGGGCGCUAGAAACAGCUUCAGUCCUGCUCGCUGAAUGAGUUAUCCUGUUGAUACGGAGUGCUGUUGUUAAUGCCAUUGCCGAGAAUUACAAAGUGAAAUAAAGACAGUUCCUUUAUCUGGAGAUGUCAGAAUUCAAAAGCAACAGACUGAUUUCUGUCCCCAUCAUUUAUCACAGAUUGCAAAGGAGGAGAGACACUCAAGAAAAGGAUGAGUACCUCACUCCAAGAGUGCUGGGCACUUUGGGGAUAACCCCUGGAUUGGGAAGAUCCCCUGGAGAAGAAAAUGGCAACCCACUCCAGUAUUCUUGCCUGGAGAAUCCCAUGGACGGAGAGUGGGGUACAGUCCUUGGGGUCGAAAGAGUCGGACACGAGUGAGCAACUUCACUUUCACUUUCUGGAGCGGGAGUUUUUAAUCCUACAGAGUUUUACGAACUGAAAAUCAUGCCUUUUUUUAUGUCCUAAAGACAAAGUAACUACAAGGCCAGUUUUUACUAUAGAAUAAAUGACUACCUUCUCAGGAAUAGCUCUGUAUGGAAUGUAUGCUAUGGCUGGCAUGAGACCCACUAAACAAACUAGAUAUAACUUGACAUUCUAGAUAAAGCCACGUCAAAAAGGAAGAGGCACAAUCUGGCCUACUAAAUCAGCUACUUAUUCAUUUAGUUCAUUUGCAUAAUCCCACUCAGCCUCAAACUAGGCCAUGUAUCCUUACAGAAGAAAAGCCUCAGAGACAUUCAUCUAAAUAGAAUUAAAAUCUGGAAUUUUACUUGGAUUGAUUGAAAAACUGACCUUCAUCUGCUUAUGAGAAGGCUGCAAAAAUGUGUGUCACUUAAUAGACUGGUAGACUUUGUGGAUCACAUUUUAUUUGUAAUGAAUUCUAAGGAACUUGUGUCCCAAUUCAGUUUUUUAAUAGUAGAAAUUAUGGUUCAUGGAAUAGGUGUUAAACUGGUAUUUCAUGAACCUUGGAAGAACUUUGACUAUAUUGGUUGUUGUUAUAGGGUUUGUUCCAUUUUUUAUCACGAGAAAUGUGAUCUGGCUUCUAUUUUAAAAAUUUCCAGUUGGGGAAAAAACAUGAUUUUGAGUUUGUUUUUACUAUUGCCACUUUACCCUCUCCCUCUGACAGAUGUAAAUCUGACAUUGACUUUUUAUUCUGUCCUGAUGUAUAUCCUUUUGCAUAUUCCAGACUCUUUCUGGGUAUUUUAAUAACAGUAACUAGCAUUGUAUACUUACCUCUAU